AUGAAGUAAAAGUCGUAACAAGGUUCCGUAGGUGAACCGCGGAAGGAUCAUUAAAAAUAUCACAUUUGUUUGUGAUUUAAUAAUCAUCCUACCCUUUGUGAAUUGUUUUUGUUUGAAUUUAUGUUGUCUAUCCUGGAUAUGAAGAAAAGUUGUAAAAGACUUUUUUUCAUUCUAGGAAUAGGCUUUCAUAGACAUUUUUUUAAAUUAAACUUUUGUAUUCAUUUGUCUAAAAUUUAUUUUAAUAAUUAAAAACAACUUUGACAAUGGAUCUCUUGGUUCUCGCAACGAUGAAGAACGCAGCAAAUGCGAUAAGUAAUGUGAAUUGCAGAAUACGUGAAUCAUCAAUUUUCGAACGCAUAUUGCACUUUUUAGUUACUAAAAAAGUAUGUCUGUUUGAGUAUCAGUAAAAUUCUCAUAAAAACUAUGUUUUAUGGUUAUGAGUGUUUUACAGCAUAACAAGUUGUUCACUUUAAUUGAUUUUUUUAAAAAGCCAAUUGGUUUUAUUUUAAAAUUGGAUAAAAUUUUCCCGUAAAAAGGAUAAACUUUCAGUUUUAAAUUAAAUCUAAUUGACCUGAAAAAGGAAAUUUAAUUAUAAACUAACUUGAUCUCAAAUCAGAUAAGAGUACCGCUGAACUUAAGCAUAUCAAUAAGCGGAGGAAAAGAACUAACAAGGAUUCCCUUAGUAACGGCGAGUGAAGCGGGAAGAGCUCAAAUUUGAAAUCUUCAAGGUUCUACCUUGACGAAUUGUAGUUAAAGAAGUGUUUCUGUUAGUGGAGUGGCAAAGUUCUUUGGAAUAGACAUCAUAGAGGGUGAGAAUCCGUAUUUGGUCAUUCCUUCUAGCUUUGUGAUACACUUUCAAAGAGUCGGAUUGUUUGGGAAUGCAGUCCAAAAUGGGUGGUAAAUUCAUCUAAAGCUAAAUAUGGCGAGAGACCGAUAGCGAACAAGUACCGUGAGGAAAGAUGAAAGAACUUUGAAAAGAGAGUUAAACAGUACGUGAAAUUGUCAAAAGGGAAGCGUUUGACACCAGUGUUGUUUUCCGAAAAUCAAUUAUAGAUGUUUUGUUUCUGAGGAGUGAUGACUUCAUCGGCUUCCUUCUCUCUCACGAAACUUUUGUAAUGCACUUUUCGGUUAACAAGUCAACAUCAUUCUUUGUUGUAAAGAGUAUUCGGAAGGUGGCUUUCUUUUCGGAGAAAGUGUUAUAGCCUAUACUUCACAAUCGGAGAGAUGAGGUCUGCAGCGUAGAUCCUCGGGUAGAUACACUUGUGCUAAGUUACAGCUUUU
Molecule: unclassified non-coding RNA, 1281 nt
Filed under: uncultured Neocallimastigales
Lineage: Eukaryota; Fungi; Neocallimastigomycota; Neocallimastigomycetes; Neocallimastigales
Description: partial contains small subunit ribosomal RNA, internal transcribed spacer 1, 5.8S ribosomal RNA, internal transcribed spacer 2, and large subunit ribosomal RNA
Rfam family: Eukaryotic large subunit ribosomal RNA (bases 603-1281)
Source: RNAcentral